GAUGAACGCUGGCGGCGUGCCUAAUACAUGCAAGUCGAGCGAACGGACGAGAAGCUUGCUUCUCUGAUGUUAGCGGCGGACGGGUGAGUAACACGAGGAUAACCUACCUAUAAGACUGGGAUAACUUCGGGAAACCGGAGCUAAUACCGGAUGAUAUUUUGAACCGCAUGGUUCAAAAGUGAAAGACGGUCUUGCUGUCACUUAUAGAUGGAUCCGCGCUGCAUUAGCUAGUUGGUAAGGUAACGGCUUACCAAGGCAACGAUGCAUAGCCGACCUGAGAGGGUGAUCGGCCACACUGGAACUGAGACACGGUCCAGACUCCUACGGGAGGCAGCAGUAGGGAAUCUUCCGCAAUGGGCGAAAGCCUGACGGAGCAACGCCGCGUGAGUGAUGAAGGUCUUCGGAUCGUAAAACUCUGUUAUUAGGGAAGAACAUAUGUGUAAGUAACUGUGCACAUCUUGACGGUACCUAAUCAGAAGGCCACGGCUAACUACGUG
RNAcentral lists this ribosomal RNA (497 nucleotides) under uncultured bacterium. RNAcentral's name for it is "partial 16S ribosomal RNA". It matches the Rfam family "Bacterial small subunit ribosomal RNA", at positions 28 to 507 of the family's 1533-position model. The record is from RNAcentral.